Molecule: ribosomal RNA, 506 nt
Filed under: uncultured bacterium
Lineage: Bacteria
Description: partial 16S ribosomal RNA
Rfam family: Bacterial small subunit ribosomal RNA
Source: RNAcentral
AGUGAACGCUGGCGGUAGGCCUAACACAUGCAAGUCGAACGGCAGCACAGGAGAGCUUGCUCUCUGGGUGGCGAGUGGCGGACGGGUGAGGAAUACAUCGGAAUCUACUCUGUCGUGGGGGAUAACGUAGGGAAACUUACGCUAAUACCGCAUACGACCUAAGGGUGAAAGCAGGGAACCUUCGGGCCUUGCGCGAUUGAAUGAGCCGAUGUCGGAUUAGCUAGUUGGCGGGGUAAAGGCCCACCAAGGCGACGAUCCGUAGCUGGUCUGAGAGGAUGAUCAGCCACACUGGAACUGAGACACGGUCCAGACUCCUACGGGAGGCAGCAGUGGGGAAUAUUGGACAUUGGGCGCAAGCCUGAUCCAGCCAUACCGCGUGGGUGAAGAAGGCCUUCGGGUUGUAAAGCCCUUUUGUUGGGAAAGAAAUCCAGCUGGCUAAUACCCGGUUGGGAUGACGGUGCCCAAAGAAUGAGCACCGGCUAACUUCGUGCCAGCCGCCGCGGUAA